AUAAAGCUGUGGGAUCUGUCAACAUGCACAUCUCGUAUUCUUGAUUCUCCUCUUCAGUCAUUUACUGGACAUAUGAAUGUAAAGAACUUUGUUGGCCUAUCUGUAUCUGAUGGUUACAUAGCAACUGGCUCAGAGACAAAUGAGGUUGUCAUCUACCACAAAGCUUUUCCCAUGCCAGCAUUGUCAUUUAAAUUUAACUGCACAGAUCCGCUUUCUGGUGAUGAAGUGGACGACAGUGCACAGUUCAUCUCAUCUGUGUGUUGGCGUGGUCAGUCCCCUUCUUUAGUUGCCGCAAAUUCUAUGGGAAAUAUCAAGCUCUUGGAGAUGGUAUAAUGUGGUUUAAUUCCAUGAAGGUUGACUAGUUACUUCAAGAUGAGGAAAGGUGUGAAGGAGAAGAGUUCGGUAAAUGUCAAUGAGGGAGUUACAUCAAGAUAUUGUUGUAGAAGAGAUAAACUCG
RNAcentral lists this unclassified non-coding RNA (457 nucleotides) under Hevea brasiliensis (rubber tree). The record is from RNAcentral. Lineage: Eukaryota; Viridiplantae; Streptophyta; Magnoliopsida; Malpighiales; Euphorbiaceae.